Molecule: ribosomal RNA, 497 nt
Filed under: uncultured Glomeromycotina
Lineage: Eukaryota; Fungi; Glomeromycota
Description: partial small subunit ribosomal RNA
Rfam family: Eukaryotic small subunit ribosomal RNA
Source: RNAcentral
CCAAUAGCGUAUAUUAAAGUUGUUGCAGUUAAAAAGCUCGUAGUUGAAUUUCAGGCCUGGCUGGACGGUCCGCCCUUCGGGUGAGUACUGUCUGUGGUCGGGUCCUACCUUCUGGCGAAGCGUCAUGGCCUUAACCGGCUGUGGCGGGGAACCAGGCCUUUUACUGUGAAAAAAUUAGAGUGUUCAAAGCAGGCAAUCGCUUGGAUACAUUAGCAUGGAAUAAUGGAAUAGGACAAUGGUUCUAUUUGUUGGUUUCUAGGACCGUUGUAAUGAUUAAUAGGGAUAGUUGGGGGAAUUAGUAUUCAAUUGUCAGAGGUGAAAUUCUGGGAUUUAUUGAAGACUAACUACUGCGAAAGCAUUUGCCAAGGAUGUUUUCAUUAAUCAAGAACGAAAGGUAGGGGAUCGAAGACGAUCAGAUACCGUCGUAGUCUUAACCAUAAACUAUGCCGACUAGGAAUCGGGCGAUGUUGAAAAAAUGACGCGCUCGGCACCUCAUG